Long non-coding RNA from Haplochromis burtoni (Burton's mouthbrooder), 2472 nucleotides. RefSeq lists it as uncharacterized. The transcript has 3 exons. The record is from RefSeq and is a predicted model, not a curated record. NCBI's taxonomy places the organism in Eukaryota, Metazoa, Chordata, Actinopteri, Cichliformes, Cichlidae.
CUCAGAGAUACUACUGUAGUAGCAAGGUAGAUUGACGCUGUGGGAGAAUUCAUCGUCAACUCCUGCAAACUGUUUCAAACCAGACAACACGUUCAUCCCGCAGAUAAAACAGCUGAGUGAAUGAAGUGAGUACUGAGGUAUUUUGUGUUUCAGUUUGUGUCUUUCUAAAGAUACACUUAAGGUUUGUGUGCUUUUGUUGUUUUGUUUUUAUUGCCAUGAUGUUUAGAUAAAGCAGGGGGCAAACACAGGUAACAAUAUAACAACAAAUACAAGGUUUGCGAGAUCACCCUCAAACACAAUAACACAACAGGUAACCCUGGGAAAAAGUUCAUUAUCAGUCCAAAAGACUAACUUAUUGGCAAUGACAACGAUAUGCGAGCAAUAUAUGUUACCUCGCCAGGUCCUCUGGAUGUUACUUCGGGUUCUGGCUCAUAGCCAGUCACGGAACCCGAAGUAACAAAUAGGUCUAGUACUGUAGUUAUUGUGACAUUAUUCUAUAAGGUAACUAAGAAGAUUCUAUUAACCCCCUAAUAACUUUACUUACUGCCAAACGUUUCUUGGUAGUAAGUAUAGAGGUUGUACUUAUUACAAGUACAAAAAGAACUGGAUUCCUAUUUUGCCUUAAAGGCAUAAAUCUUACUAGGUGGUGACUUGAAUAACCAUUUUCCCUCAACAAUAAUCAACAGAUAAAUUCUUAAUACACAAAAACGACACUUUAAGUGUUCCAGAUUAAAUUUAAACCAUCUUCCCUAUUCUUUUUUCUUUUAAAGUAUUUGACUACUACUAGACUGUCAAGAAGCACUUUGCAAUGACUAAAAAGGAGCCAGUAUAUUUCUAAAAUCCGUGCCAAUAAGCACCUCGUUAAUGUUGAAAAUGUGUACCUAGAUAUAAAGUGCACCAUAUGCAAUAAUGCUGAAACACUGGAUGGAUAUUAGCACUUUUAAUUUUUUCUUAAUAUACAUUUUCUAUCCAGAGAUGCUUUCUUUUCUUUGUUAAAUAAAAUUAAAUUUGCGGUUUGGCAGUUUAAUAGGAACCAAAGUGGACUGUGGCCUAAGCUCUAUGGAUAAAAGUUUUCAUCCAAUGACUCUUUGAAUUCAGGUGUUUUCACUCUCAUUACCACGGGCAUAUAAAAUCAAGCACCUGGCUCUGCAGUCUGCCUGUACCAAUACACUGUAAAAUGUAAUAUUGUGUUUAAUUAAAAAUAUUAAAUAGGCUGAACUCAGGUUUUAUCAAUUUGUUAUUAGAACUCGAUUCAAAUAAGUUACCAGUACUUUUUAUGCAAAUGCUGAUAAACUCAAUUUAUUUGAGUUGUCUUAACUUAGAAAAACUAAGUAAGAUGGAAGUUUUGCUUCUCAGUGCGGAAGGAUGAAAGAUGUGUUUUGAAAAUGCCACGUCACCACCGUCCUCCUCCCUCUCGGAUCAGUCCGCAUGUUCAUGGUACCAGUAUUUUUUAUGGAAUAUGUUGAGCAAACCUGGAAAAGCGUCAGCUCAAGAUAUUAUUGUUGUCAUUGCUGUGGAUCUUUACCUGAUACACUGACUUGGUGAGUAAAUGUUUACUCUUAUUCAAACUGAUUUUGUGGCUUCUCUUAGUUUAGCACCAGGUUUAUAAUCUUGCUAGCUAGUUAGUGUUAGCCUAGCCUGUGUGUACUGUGCGUAAAAACGUAUUACUUUUUCUGGGUCAUAAAAUAAACUUUUAAGAUAUUUUCAGGCGAGAAUGUAGCUGUGUAAAGUUCAAGUAUCUGCUCGAUUUAUCAAGACAUCACAUAUUUGCAAAGAUGCGCCGAAGUUUUCAGAGAUGUCCAUUUUUCCAUGCUUUGUGGCAGCUUUUGGACAUCUGUGACAUCUAUUAAUGUCAAAUCUAGCCUUUAUUUAACAACAUAAGCAAAAUGUUACAAUGAUUGCACAGCCAUUAAGGAUCAAAUCAGUUUCUGAAAAAUGUUCUGUUUUUUCUCCCUCUGCUUGCUUCUUACUGUCUUUGAGGCUCGGGACCAACACUCCUACUGUUGGACAGAAAGACAUCAACUUGAGAUAUGACUGCACUAUGCUGUUACUGGUGACUCCAGUUAAUUCUACAAGACAUGCUGUAACAACAGGAGAGAUGAGUCCUCCAUCAAAGAUGGUGUGGUCAGUGAAGAUGGUCGCCUGCAGGUUCAAGCUCAUUGCAUCUCCAACCCACAUCCACUGCCACUGUACUUAAGGGAAGUUAAAGACUUUCUUCUGCACUUACAUUUGGAUCACCUCGAUCCAUGAUAGUCAUUCAGGCAGUAAUGCCUGGACUGGAAACAAGCCAUGCUUAAAAUAUUACAACAUUCCAGCUCAUGUGUUGGAAUGAAAAACAAAUGUGUUGUUUAAAUUAGAGACUGCACUUGUGACAGAACAACAAAUAUUUUAUUUUGAUUAUAUAAGUAAGUACAAAACAAACUUGUGGUAGGCCUAAACUUAUUUUCAGAAUAAUUACAUCUGAGACUUUGU